This 433-nucleotide ribosomal RNA is filed under the name uncultured bacterium. RNAcentral describes it as "partial 16S ribosomal RNA". It matches the Rfam family "Bacterial small subunit ribosomal RNA", at positions 29 to 507 of the family's 1533-position model. The record is from RNAcentral.
AGCGAACGCUGGCGGCAGGCUUAACACAUGCAAGUCGAGCGGACCUUUCGGGGUCAGCGGCGGACGGGUGAGUAACGCGUGGGAACGUGCCUUCCGGUUCGGAAUAACCCUGGGAAACUAGGGCUAAUACCGGAUACGCCCUUAUGGGGAAAGGUUUACUGCCGGAAGAUCGGCCCGCGUCUGAUUAGCUAGUUGGUGGGGUAACGGCCUACCAAGGCGACGAUCAGUAGCUGGUCUGAGAGGGUGAUCAGCCACACUGGGACUGAGACACGGCCCAGACUCCUACGGGAGGCAGCAGUGGGGAAUAUUGGACAAUGGGCGCAAGCCUGAUCCAGCCAUGCCGCGUGAGUGAUGAAGGCCUUAGGGUUGUAAAGCUCUUUUAUCCGGGACGAUAAUGACGGUACCGGAGGAAUAAGCCUCGGCUAACUUCGUG